This is a non-coding RNA of Lactuca sativa (garden lettuce), 1499 nucleotides long. Lineage: Eukaryota; Viridiplantae; Streptophyta; Magnoliopsida; Asterales; Asteraceae. The record is from RefSeq and is a predicted model, not a curated record.
GUUUUGGCUUUAAUCUCUGCAACGUGUUCAUGUUGUGUUCGUCACCGCCUUUCUCGCCCGAUAUAUAUCUUCCACCGUCAUUGCUAGCAGUUACGGGAAAAUGAUUCUCAUUGGAAUCAUCUCUUAGGUACAAUGUCUUAACAAAAUCGACCAUAAAAUCGAUCCCAAAGUUCCUCUUCACAAAACCGACCAAAAAAUUGAUCCCAAAGUUCCUCAGUACGUGUUUCACUAUCUUUCGUCCAUCAUUCCGUCAUCUUUCUCCUCCUCUCGAUUUUAUUUGUUGCCAAUUUCAUAUCGAAGAGAGCGUCGGAAGAAGACCGACUCAAAGAAACCCACUUCAAUCGCGAUUUCCCUCACUGACACCUUUACUCGCACCCGUCGCUUCAAUCGCCGAAUUACAGGUAUCAAAGAUUUUGAAGGGGCUUGACAGCCGGCUUCCAUCGAUAAGUGCUUAUUCCCUAUCUUCUAUUCCACACUUCUCUAUCGAUUUACCAAAGGUCGAUCAUCUAUUUGGACUUUCAUUAUCUGCCCUAUAAUUUGUUUUCUGUUUUUUAAUGAUUUAGUUUUGGAAGGAGCCUUUUUUUUGGAAUUCUGACUUAUUGAGUUGUGGCUAGGUUUACUGGGUGGGUUUCAUUUUUCGUUAUUUAGGUAACAAUUUUUGUAAAAGUUUGUUAUGGAGGUUUACAUAUUCUUACAAUUAUCAAUUUUUGGUUCUAGAUUUUGAAACUGAAAUUCCAAGACUUAUGUAGAGGGGGCAUAAGGUAUGUAGUGAAAAUGUUGUAUUUUGCAUUUUUGCUUGACUUUUUGUCAUCAGGGUUAGAGGACAUUUUAAGGUGUAUGGAUGGAGUGGUGGUUGAUGAGGAGUGAUAGGGUGACAAAGAUGCUGCGGUUUAUACAAUUUUACAGGGUUUAGGGAUUAUAGAGCUCACUUAGAAGGAAAAACAAGUGAUAAGAACGAUUCAGAAUGUGAUAGGGAUAAUUAAAGGACUGGAGGAACCUGAUAGGUCGCAGAAAGGUUCCAAAAGCUAUAGAAAGAAGGUUCCAGAAGCAAUCCUCGGUAUUCCAGCCUUUUUCAGUGAUAAAGGGUAAUUUUGGAAUACAAGAUUCAUUGACGGAUUCCAUUCCGGAUUCCAAACGAAAAAAUACUUCAGUCUACCAAAUAAGAUGGAAAACCAGAUUGAGUCUGCUAUUUUCAUAUUCACUUCAUGGAACACCUGUAGAUCUAAAGACAACUUCAAGUGGAACAAGCUGAUGGUAUGAUUGCAUGCUUCCGGGGAAUAGUGGAGAUAGUUAGCAUGCUUAUUGGAUCAGAGGAGUAGUCGUAUUUCUUCAAUAUAUACAAAAACCAAAAUCUUACUUAUUAUAUAAUCAGAUUGUAAUUAUCCAAUUAUUUAGCUUUCAAAUAACCAAUUUUGGAUGAUAAUUUUCACACAAGCUGCAACACAAAUGAUAAAUUUUCACCCAUCAGUUUAGCAUUAAUAAUCAUAUUAUAUUUAUAA